AUGAACAGGGUGCUUAGCUCCUCUACAAGGAGAGAAAAAACAAAGCCUGGUGGAGCGGGGGCAGGCGAGGAGGCUCUCCACAACAGGAAUUCAGGGGCUGCAGAUGUCCUGGUUAAGAGAGACCAGCCACUCUUGAAAGGAGGAACACAGUGGCUUUGGAGCACCAUGCAGAACAUAUGCAGGCAGCUCCUUACUGGUGAAGAAAGCUUCCACAUACCAGUAAGACCUUCCGUCCAUCCAAAGCACCAUUCUGCAGUGGGAUGAUGGGAUUUGAUGGACAAGGAGGGGAGUCAUCUGUUCAACUUGAGAGAGUGUAAUCAGACCCAUAGGUAUCAUUGUAAAAAUCAGAAGCAUGCUGAACCAUAAAAGGUUUUGAUUGCAGCUGUGUUUUGUGUCUUCUCCAUACUCAUCCUAAUCACCUGACUAAACUUCAGAAUCACUUUUCCUAUAAGCAGAUGGAAAAUCCCAGCCCAUCGCAGCACUGGAGAACUCAGACGGGCUGGAAGAAGCAGGAAAAAUAAACUGGAGGAAGUGGGAAAAAAUAAAAUAUUU
This 552-nucleotide long non-coding RNA is filed under the name Crocodylus porosus (Australian saltwater crocodile). Its description in RNAcentral is "lncRNA (ENSCPRG00005010090.1)". Lineage: Eukaryota; Metazoa; Chordata; Crocodylia; Crocodylidae. The record is from RNAcentral.